RNAcentral lists this long non-coding RNA (766 nucleotides) under Homo sapiens (human). RNAcentral describes it as "HSALNT0291314". The record is from RNAcentral. Lineage: Eukaryota; Metazoa; Chordata; Mammalia; Primates; Hominidae.
ACACUUCCAUCAAACAGUACCUGCCCCUUAGGUGUGCUAGGGAAUAAAUGAAAUGCCUGGGACAUCAUCGUUAAGUGGCAUCUGAUGCAUAAGCAGUGCCCUAGGAAUGGGGUUGCCUGCCUUGGUCUCUAAAGGAUGGGUUCAAAAGCAAACUGACAUGCUGAAAGCUGCCCUAUGGAGAGGCUCAUGUGGCAAGGAACAGAGGGUGGCUUCUGGCCAACACCCAGUGAGGAACUCAGGCCCUCAGUCAAACAGCCUGCAAGGAACUGAACCCUGCCAAUAACCGAGCCAUCCCGUGAGGCCGUUACUGCAAACAAGCUGAAAAUCCUGCUUUGUUUCUUUUGGACACAACAUGCUUUCCUUCAGCUUCAGUAGACGAUGAGGCCAGCACCACAUGGGCUAGAUGUACAUGAGAUGUGAGCAACCACACUUCCCCUCUGACGGGGACAGACAGCAUCACAGGCUGAGCUCUGAAACUUCUCCUGGCAGUUCAAGAGAGCGAUGGAGGGAAUGCUGGGGCACAUCUAAAUAAAGCCUCCAAGUGGGAGUUCCUGCUCAGCUAUGCAUGAGCUCUUUGUGACUUCAUCUCCCAGCCUACAACUUGUGAAAUAAGCACGACUUCACUCAGAGCACAGCCAGAAACAUACAAACUUUCCAAAAAUAUUUGAAUGUUGACAGCAGACUGUCUUGCAUUCCAGUGAAUAAUUGGUUUGUAUGAGUGUGUGUGUGACCUAAAUCCACAGAACUUACCAUUCUGUGGCUAUAC